UGUGAUACUAGUGGGAUUGUUGCUGAGAGCUGACAGUGGAGCCUGGGCUGAUUUUCCUGCUUCUCUAGGCGCAACCUUUUGCCUGUUGAAAAAUGCAAAAGCAUUUGACAUGAGUAUUUCACUGAGCUCGAGUGGAACUUUUAGCAGAUCCGACAAGCAGGCUUGUCAGCUCUGGUUCCUGGCAGCCCGUUCUCCCUUGGAGGCUGUUCCUGUAUUGCCUGUGGUAACUGCUCAGCUGCUGCUUCACGUUCACAGAGCCAAGAUGCUCAAGCCACGUGCCCCGGUCUACACAUAACAGUGGAAACUGAAUGGCCUUGUCUAAGCCCUGGAGAAACUCAGUGAAUUUGGGUCAGGCCUUUCACUGUCCUCUUUCAAUGAGGGUGUUGCAGCUGCUUUGCUGAUUUUGGAAAAUCAGAAAACCAGGAUGUCUGUAACCAAACAUAAGGAAUCCACAGCUCUUUCGGGGAGUUACAGGAAGCUAAGAACAGGUGUGUCUUCAGACCAGAGUUACUGCUUGUACUUGGGAAGAGCACAGACAUCAUUCUGAAGGUCGUGUGCUGUCCACAGAUAUGUGCUGCCCUUUAAAAGGAGUGCAUACUGUCUUAAUGAGACCAGGAUGCCAGAACAUACUAUGAAGACUUUUUCCUCCCCACAGGCAAGUCCUUAAUGCAAAAGUCUGAAGUCAAUAUACA
Falco peregrinus (peregrine falcon) is the source of this 692-nucleotide long non-coding RNA. RefSeq lists it as uncharacterized. The record is from RefSeq and is a predicted model, not a curated record. The transcript has 6 exons. NCBI's taxonomy places the organism in Eukaryota, Metazoa, Chordata, Aves, Falconiformes, Falconidae.